CACGUAGUUAGCCGGGGCUUCUUAGUCGGGUACCGUCUUGUCUCGUUCCUGCUGAUAGAGCUCUACAUACCGAAAUACUUCUUCACUCACGCGGCGUCGCUGCAUCAGGGUUUCCCCCAUUGUGCAAUAUUCCCCACUGCUGCCUCCCGUAGGAGUUUGGGCCGUGUCUCAGUCCCAAUGUGGCCGUCCACCCUCUCAGGCCGGCUACUGAUCGUCGCUUUGGUAGGCCGUUACCCUGCCAACUGGCUAAUCAGACGCGGGUCCAUCCCAUACCACCGGAGUUUUUCACACAGGAGCAUGCGCUCCCGUGCGCUUAUGCGGUAUUAGCACCUGUUUCCAGGUGGUAUCCCCCGGUAUGGGGCAGGUUACCCACGCGUUACUCACCCGUCCGACCACUAAGAUACUCAUUUCCAAAGUGACAAGCACCCCUUCCGUCAGCCAUCCCCGUUCGACUUGCAUCGUGUUAAGCACGCCGCCAGCCGUUCACUCCGUAGAGCCAGGGACUCAAACUCUCCUA
RNAcentral lists this ribosomal RNA (517 nucleotides) under uncultured Lachnospiraceae bacterium. RNAcentral describes it as "partial 16S ribosomal RNA". Lineage: Bacteria; Bacillati; Bacillota; Clostridia; Lachnospirales; Lachnospiraceae. The record is from RNAcentral.